Molecule: ribosomal RNA, 497 nt
Filed under: uncultured bacterium
Lineage: Bacteria
Description: partial 16S ribosomal RNA
Rfam family: Bacterial small subunit ribosomal RNA
Source: RNAcentral
GAUGAACGCUGGCGGCGUGCCUAAUACAUGCAAGUCGAGCGAACAGACGAGGAGCUUGCUCCUCUGACGUUAGCGGCGGACGGGUGAGUAACACGUGGAUAACCUACCUAUAAGACUGGGAUAACUUCGGGAAACCGGAGCUAAUACCGGAUAAUAUAUUGAACCGCAUGGUUCAAUAUUGAAAGACGGUUUUGCUGUCACUUAUAGAUGGAUCCGCGCCGCAUUAGCUAGUUGGUAAGGUAACGGCUUACCAAGGCAACGAUGCGUAGCCGACCUGAGAGGGUGAUCGGCCACACGGGAACUGAGAAACGGUCCAGACUCCUACGGGAGGCAGCAGUAGGGAAUCUUCAGCAAUGGGCGAAAGCUUGACGGAGCAACGCCGCGUGAGUGAUGAAGGUCUUAGGAUCGUAAAACUCUGAUAUUAGGGAAGAACAAAUGUGUAAGUAACUAUGCAAGUCUUGACGGUACCUAAUCAGAAAGCCACGGCUAACUAAGGG